CAACAAUGGUGGCGACCGGCGCACGGGUGAGUAACACGUAUCCAACCUGCCUCAUACUCGGGGAUAGCCUUUCGAAAGAAAGAUUAAUAUCCGAUAGCAUAUAUUUCCCGCAUGGGUUUUAUAUUAAAGAAAUUCGGUAUGAGAUGGGGAUGCGUUCCAUUAGUUUGUUGGGGGGUAACGGCCCACCAAGACUACGAUGGAUAGGGGUUCUGAGAGGAAGGUCCCCCACAUUGGAACUGAGACACGGUCCAA
This 252-nucleotide ribosomal RNA is filed under the name uncultured bacterium. RNAcentral's name for it is "partial 16S ribosomal RNA". It matches the Rfam family "Bacterial small subunit ribosomal RNA", at positions 77 to 334 of the family's 1533-position model. The record is from RNAcentral.